CACCGCGGUUAUACGAGAGGCCUAAGCUAACAGACACCGGCGUAAAGAGUGGUUAAGGAGAAAUCAAAACUAAAGCCGAAUAACCUCAAGACUGUUAUACGUUACCGAGGACAAGAAGCCCAACUACGAAAGUGGCUUUAAUUUCCCCGACUCCACGAAAGCUGUGGAA
RNAcentral lists this ribosomal RNA (169 nucleotides) under Hemiramphus convexus. RNAcentral's name for it is "partial 12S rRNA". The record is from RNAcentral. Lineage: Eukaryota; Metazoa; Chordata; Actinopteri; Beloniformes; Hemiramphidae.